This 20-nucleotide unclassified non-coding RNA is filed under the name Mus musculus (house mouse). Its description in RNAcentral is "oocyte_clustered_small_RNA10122". The record is from RNAcentral. Lineage: Eukaryota; Metazoa; Chordata; Mammalia; Rodentia; Muridae.
UGUUUCCUCAGGAUCACCUA